Molecule: ribosomal RNA, 253 nt
Filed under: uncultured prokaryote
Description: partial 16S ribosomal RNA
Rfam family: Bacterial small subunit ribosomal RNA
Source: RNAcentral
ACGUAGGGUGCGAGCGUUAAUCGGAAUUACUGGGCGUAAAGUGUGCGCAGGCGGCAGAGCAAGUCGAGUGUGAAAGCCCCCGGCUCAACUGGGGAGGGUCACGCGAUACUGAUCGACUCGAAGGCAGGAGAGGGUAGUGGAAUUCCCGGUGUAGUGGUGAAAUGCGUAGAUAUCGGGAGGAACACCAGUGGCGAAGGCGACUACCUGGCCUGUUCUUGACGCUGAGGCGCGAAAGCUAGGGUAGCAAACGGGA